AAUGAACGCUGGCGGCAGGCCUAACACAUGCAAGUCGAACGGAUCCUUCGGGAUUAGUGGCGGACGGGUGAGUAACGCGUGGGAGCAUACCCUUUGGUACGGAAUAGCCUCGGGAAACUGGGAGUAAUACCGUAUGUGGUCGAGAGACGAAAGAUUUAUCGCCAAAGGAUUGGCCCGCGUUGGAUUAGGUAGUUGGUGGGGUAAUGGCCUACCAAGCCGACGAUCCAUAGCUGGUUUGAGAGGAUGAUCAGCCACACUGGGACUGAGACACGGCCCAGACUCCUACGGGAGGCAGCAGUGGGGAAUCUUAGACAAUGGGGGAAACCCUGAUCUAGCCAUGCCGCGUGAUCGAUGAAGGCCUUAGGGUUGUAAAGAUCUUUCAGGUGGGAAGAUAAUGACUGUACCACUAGAAGAAGCCCCGGCUAACUCCGUGCCAGCAGCCGCGGUAA
Molecule: ribosomal RNA, 449 nt
Filed under: uncultured bacterium
Lineage: Bacteria
Description: partial 16S ribosomal RNA
Rfam family: Bacterial small subunit ribosomal RNA
Source: RNAcentral